Molecule: ribosomal RNA, 756 nt
Filed under: Flavobacterium sp.
Lineage: Bacteria; Pseudomonadati; Bacteroidota; Flavobacteriia; Flavobacteriales; Flavobacteriaceae
Description: bacterial SSU rRNA
Rfam family: Bacterial small subunit ribosomal RNA
Source: RNAcentral
AGAGACCGGCGCACGGGUGCGUAACGCGUAUGCAAUCUACCUUUCACAGAGGGAUAGCCCAGAGAAAUUUGGAUUAAUACCUCAUAGUAUAGCAGUUUCGCAUGAAACCACUAUUAAAGUCACAACGGUGAAAGAUGAGCAUGCGUCCCAUUAGCUAGAUGGUAAGGUAACGGCUUACCAUGGCAACGAUGGGUAGGGGUCCUGAGAGGGAGAUCCCCCACACUGGUACUGAGACACGGACCAGACUCCUACGGGAGGCAGCAGUGAGGAAUAUUGGACAAUGGGCGCAAGCCUGAUCCAGCCAUGCCGCGUGCAGGAUGACGGUCCUAUGGAUUGUAAACUGCUUUUGUACAGGAAGAAACACUCCCUCGUGAGGGAGCUUGACGGUACUGUAAGAAUAAGGAUCGGCUAACUCCGUGCCAGCAGCCGCGGUAAUACGGAGGAUCCAAGCGUUAUCCGGAAUCAUUGGGUUUAAAGGGUCCGUAGGCGGUUUAGUAAGUCAGUGGUGAAAGCCCAUCGCUCAACGGUGGAACGGCCAUUGAUACUGCUAAACUUGAAUUAUUAGGAAGUAACUAGAAUAUGUAGUGUAGCGGUGAAAUGCUUAGAGAUUACAUGGAAUACCAAUUGCGAAGGCAGGUUACUACUAAUGGAUUGACGCUGAUGGACGAAAGCGUGGGUAGCGAACAGGAUUAGAUACCCUGGUAGUCCACGCCGUAAACGAUGGAUACUAGCUGUUGGGAGCAAUUUCAGUGGCUA